CUAUUAAACGGCCGCGGUAUCCUAACCGUGCAAAGGUAGCAUAAUCAUUUGUCUAUUAAUUGUAGACCUGUAUGAAAGGCAAAAUGAGAGCCCAACUGUCUCUUAUAACAAAUCAAUUAAACUGAUCUCCUAGUACAAAAGCUAGAAUAUCGACAUAAGACCAGAAGACCCUGUGAAGCUUUAACUAACCUAUUAAACCUAAUAAUAGCUACUUUCGGUUGGGGCGACCUUGGAACAAAAAAGAACUUCCAACACAUGACCUCCUCAUAAAAUAGGCAUACAAGCCAACAUUAGACCCAGCACAGCUGAUAAUUGAAAUAAGUUACUCCAGGGAUAACAGCGCCAUCUUCUUCAAGAGCCCAUAUCAAAAAGAAGGUUUACGACCUCGAUGUUGGAUCAGGACAUCCCAGUAAUGCAGCCGUUACUAAAGGUUCGUUUGUUCAACGAUUAACAGUCCUACGUGAUCUGA
Molecule: ribosomal RNA, 469 nt
Filed under: Protobothrops maolanensis (Mao-lan pitviper)
Lineage: Eukaryota; Metazoa; Chordata; Lepidosauria; Squamata; Viperidae
Description: partial 16S ribosomal RNA
Rfam family: Bacterial large subunit ribosomal RNA
Source: RNAcentral